AUAUCAAUAAGCGGAGGAAAAGAAACCAACAGGGAUUGCCUUAGUAGCGGCGAGUGAAGCGGCAAAAGCUCAAAUUUGAAAUCUGGCUCUUUCAGAGUCCGAGUUGUAAUUUGAAGAAGGUAUCUUUGGGUCUGGCUCUUGUCUAUGUUUCUUGGAACAGAACGUCACAGAGGGUGAGAAUCCCGUGCGAUGAGAUGAUCCAGGCCUAUGUAAAGUUCCUUCGAAGAGUCGAGUUGUUUGGGAAUGCAGCUCUAAGUGGGUGGUAAAUUCCAUCUAAAGCUAAAUAUUGGCGAGAGACCGAUAGCGAACAAGUACAGUGAUGGAAAGAUGAAAAGAACUUUGAAAAGAGAGUGAAAAAGUACGUGAAAUUGUUGAAAGGGAAGGGCUUGAGAUCAGACUUGGUAUUUUGUAUGUUACUUCUUCGGGGGUGGCCUCUACAGUUUAUCGGGCCAGCAUCAGUUUGGGCGGUAGGAGAAUUGCGUUGGAAUGUGGCACGGCUUCGGUUGUGUGUUAUAGCCUUCGUCGAUACUGCCAGCCUAGACUGAGGACUGCGGUUUAUACCUAGGAUGUUGGCAUAA
RNAcentral lists this ribosomal RNA (578 nucleotides) under Candida tropicalis. Its description in RNAcentral is "eukaryotic LSU rRNA". It matches the Rfam family "Eukaryotic large subunit ribosomal RNA", at positions 40 to 634 of the family's 3401-position model. Lineage: Eukaryota; Fungi; Ascomycota; Pichiomycetes; Serinales; Debaryomycetaceae. The record is from RNAcentral.